CGAGUGCUGCGGGGUUUGGCAGGAGAUACUUUUCCCCGGGGCCUUAUCGAUCCUUAAGGGAGCUGUCCCUGGCCGGGCCCGUGGGCCUGGACAUACGGCGCCCACCUACUCUGUAGGUCUCCGGGAUCGACACCUCCACCGGCUCAGCGGCCUCGC
This 156-nucleotide non-coding RNA is filed under the name Bauldia sp. Its description in RNAcentral is "6S RNA". It matches the Rfam family "6S / SsrS RNA". From Rfam's summary of the family: E. coli 6S RNA was the first non coding RNA to be sequenced, but its function was unknown until recently. It consists of 184 nucleotides that fold into an extended hairpin structure with a large single-stranded internal bulge. The 6S RNA specifically associates with RNA polymerase holoenzyme containing the sigma70 specificity factor. Lineage: Bacteria; Pseudomonadati; Pseudomonadota; Alphaproteobacteria; Hyphomicrobiales; Kaistiaceae. The record is from RNAcentral.